CCCUCUGUGUGACAUCUAAAUUCAUAGUGGCAUAGAUUAGCCCCAUUUUCAGUUCAACAACCCUUUAACCUUUCCAUUUCUGUUGAGGGUUAGUCCCCCAAACGCAAACUGAUCGCAUGUAGCAUUUGAUUGACAGCUAAGCCAAGUUGCACUUUGUACGUGAUCUUGUCAGCAUUGCAAUUGGAUACAUUGCCCCCUCCUCGUCGCCGCAUGAAUCACGAUCGCCGCUUGGGUGCAAACCCUAAAAAUAAACUCAAUGUUUGGAUACGCCCAACAAGAGCAGCCGCAGCAGCAGCAGAAGCAGAAGCAGAAGCAGAAGCAGAAAAAACAAUUAAACGGGCACUUAGACACUGAGAAAUUAAUUUCAUUUGGGAUCGCAGAGGAUCAUUGAUAAUGAUCGGGAGCUCUUAGGUUGAUUGACAGUUGCGAGUUAUUGUUUUCAAUGUCAAGUUCAAGUUCAUGAAACACAAUCUUUUUGGGGGGCAUUUAGAUGCAUUUGUCAUUGAUCAUGCCAGCGAUCAUGUCGCUUUCCUGUUGCUGCUCUUGCCGUUGAUGAUCGUGGUAUUUGCCUCGGCCGCUGUCUGUUCAGGCGUAUCAAAUAUGCAGGAAGUGCAAGCCAUAACCAAUUGCAUUAGUCUCGGCACCGGGCACCGGGCACCAGGCAUGGGGCAACAUAUCAAAGCUGCCUGGCGCCUUGGCCAGCUUUGGCUAACUUGGCAAAACCUGACUGAUCUUAUUCACAGGGAAAUAGAGAGAGAGAGCGAGCGAGAUAGAGAGAGAGGGGGCUGUAGCACCUCUAAUUGUCAUGCAAAUACCAAUUAUCAUUUGUCAGUAAUGCCACUUAGAAUAAUGUGUCUAUGUAUAAUUAAAUGCCAGCGACUGAUUCUUUGAUCGAUCAUUACCAACCAGCUACAAUCUACAAUCUACAAUCUACAAUCCACAAUCUACGAUCUACGAUCUGCAAUUUACGAUCAGCGAUCGUCGCGAUAUAGAUCAGAACUCAUGAACUAAGCUCUCGCUGAUUAAUUCAUUAGCAACUGUCGACCAGUUUGUCAGUUACACGCAUUUGACAACAGGCCUUACUAUAUGAACUUGCCGUUGAUCGUGCUUAUAACGAAUUGUCAUUAUAUAAAGAAUUGUCAAGGCAGAAAAUCUUUGUUUUUAUGCCUGUCGUCUAUGCUACAUGAAGUAUUGCUUAAUUAGCUCUACGAUUUGCAUAUGUCAAAGCAAAGAACUCACCCAAUGGUCAGCAUAUUGCCUCUCUAACAGCUCUACAUGGCAUAGUAAAGCCAUAAUUAAUGUGGAUUCUAAUUAAUUUUCUGUAUGCAGAUUCGAAUGGAAUAUACCCUAGGAAUAUGCAUAUGUAUGUAUUCACAUAUAUAAAUAUUUUAUUAAAAUUCCCAAAGACUUGACUGUCACUCACAAAUUUUAACCCUAAACAAAAUUAUACAGAUAAUAAUGGCAUAUUUUUAUAAAAAACUUGUUACUCAUUUAAGAACUUGUCUGGGAUCCACAGCAUUUCAAGCGCCUCUUCUUAUUGGAUUCUAUGUGUAUAACUAUAUAGAUUGGCCGAAACGCGCUCGUGCAUUCGAAAAUCGUUUAUACGGCAAAGCUUCCGGAGAAAUCAACGACGAAUUUCAAGGAAGAUAAGGUCCAAAGGAGUUAUAGAAACCCCAAUUUGAUUCUUGCUAGGCGAAAUAAUUAUCGUGAUGAUGAGAGCCUGGACGUUUAUGAAUGCGCAAAGCCAAAUUCACGCAGUCAAAUGCAAGUCUACGAUUCUAACUGCUCUUUUCAAUUGACUUUGAUUUGGGGAAUAUUUUAAGCAAAUUUAAGCUACACGUACAACAAUUAUUAAUAAAACAAUUGCAUCCUGAGAAAACAAGCUCCUGGCGAGAGCUUCAGGUAAAGAAGGAAGCAAAUGGUUACAUAUUAACCGUUCUCUA
Long non-coding RNA from Drosophila mojavensis, 1943 nucleotides. RefSeq lists it as uncharacterized. Lineage: Eukaryota; Metazoa; Arthropoda; Insecta; Diptera; Drosophilidae. The record is from RefSeq and is a predicted model, not a curated record. The transcript has 2 exons.